This 208-nucleotide non-coding RNA is filed under the name Bacteroidota bacterium. The record is from RNAcentral. Lineage: Bacteria; Pseudomonadati; Bacteroidota.
UAUCUUCGCAGCAGUAUUGGUAACACAAUUUGUGUUUAAUAGGGAAUCCGGUGCCUCCGAAUGUUGAAACGGAGAAUUCCGGAGCUGUACCCGCAGCUGUAAUCUCAGUAAGGUUUUUGCAACCUCAGCCACUGUUCGUCAACCGACGGAUGGGAAGGCGGCAAAAACUUGAGUAAGCCAGAAGACCUGCCAGUGCGUAAUACAAUAU